This 253-nucleotide ribosomal RNA is filed under the name uncultured bacterium. RNAcentral's name for it is "partial 16S ribosomal RNA". It matches the Rfam family "Bacterial small subunit ribosomal RNA", at positions 524 to 776 of the family's 1533-position model. The record is from RNAcentral.
UACAGAGGUCCCAAGCGUUGUUCGGAUUCACUGGGCGUAAAGGGUGCGUAGGUGGUGGGGUAAGUCUGAUGUGAAAUCUCCGAGCUUAACUCGGAAACUGCAUCGGAUACUAUCUUGCUCGAGGGUUGGAGGGGGGACUGGAAUACUUGGUGUAGCAGUGAAAUGCGUAGAUAUCAAGUGGAACACCAGCGGCGAAGGCGAGUCCCUGGACAACUCCUGACACUGAGGCACGAAAGCUAGGGGAGCAAACAGG